CUAAGCAUAUCAAUAAGCAGACUGAUAGAGAACAACAGGGAUGGCCCUAGUAACGGCGAGUGAAGCGGCAACAGCUCAAAUUUGAAAUCUGGCCUUCGGGUCCGAGUUGUAAUUUGCAGAGGAUGCUUUGGGCGCGGCGCCUUCCGAGUUCCCUGGAACGGGACGCCAUAGAGGGUGAGAGCCCCGUCUGGUUGGAUGCCUAGCCUGUGUAAAGCUCCUUCGACGAGUCGAGUAGUUUGGGAAUGCUGCUCUAAAUGGGAGGUACAUGCCUUCUAAAGCUAAAUACCGGCCAGAGACCGAUAGCGCACAAGUAGAGUGAUCGAAAGAUGAAAAGCACUUUGAAAAGAGGGUUAAAUAGUACGUGAAAUUGUUGAAAGGGAAGCGCUUGUGACCAGACUUGGGCGUGGUGAAUCAUCCGGCGUUCUCGCCGGUGCACUUUGCCUGUCCAGGCCAGCAUCAGCUCGUCGCGGGGGACAAAGGCUUCGGGAAUGUGGCUCCCUCGGGAGUGUUAUAGACCGUUGCGUAAUACCCUGCGGUGGGCUGAGGUUCGCGCAUCUGCUCGGAUGCUGGCGUAAUGGUCAUCAGCGACCCGUCUUGAAACACGGACCAAGGAGUCGUCUUCGUAUGCGAGUGUUCGGGUGUCAAACCCCUACGCGUAAUGAAAGUGAACGCAGGUGAGAGCUUCGGCGCAUCAUCGACCGAUCCUGAUGUUCUCGGAUGGAUUUGAGUAAGAGCAUACGGGGCCGGACCCGAAAGAAGGUGAACUAUGCCUGUAUAGGGUGAAGCCAGAGGAAACUCUGGUGGAGGCUCGCAGCGGUUCUGACGUGCAAAUCGAUCGUCAAAUAUGGGCAUGGGGGCGAAAGACUAAUCGAACCUUCUAGUAGCUGGUUUCCGCCGAAGUCCCCCCCCUAAGGAACUGUCGCGCAUCGCGUAGUUCCAUCAUUCGUCACAUACGCUGCACCGCUGCUCCGCCACUACGUACUCCCGUACUCUACGGCUCGUCUUUUUACACCUCGCACCUCCCUCACACUCUAUCCACUCGUUCUGCUUUCUCCGCCUAUCCUACUCAUCCCCUCUCUCCUUCUUACCUCGGCCGUUUCUACGUUACUUGUUCGCCGCGUACGCUCCGUUUAUCACGACUGCCUUGGCUAUCGACGUAUGCGACGU
Molecule: ribosomal RNA, 1167 nt
Filed under: Neoacremonium vitellinum
Lineage: Eukaryota; Fungi; Ascomycota; Sordariomycetes; Hypocreales; Neoacremoniaceae
Description: LSU rRNA
Rfam family: Eukaryotic large subunit ribosomal RNA
Source: RNAcentral